AGUUCUGAUGCAGUUUGAGAGCCUGGUGGACAGGACUCACUUGCUCGUGUGGACAACCGACCCCUGGGCAUGUCAACAUGGAGCAUCGGACAGUGUGACCAUGAUGGCAUAGAAGAGCCCCAGUUUUGAAUCACCCUAGUCCUUCAAAGGGGGCUUCAUUGGAGGUGUUCCAACGGCACCCCAACGUAGGAUUGUCCUGAAGCCCAGCUGUGAUUCAGAGAGCUCCGCCGUGUGAGCUCUGAGUGCACCCGGACCCCCGUCCCGGGUCGGCUGCCAGCAAGAUGUCAACAGCUCUCUCUAGAGUGAGCGCACUUCCCAGGAGCACAGCUGAGGGACUCAAAGAGCAAAGUCCUCCUCCUCCAAGGAACGCGCAGCCCGUCCCGCUGCGGGUGGGGAGAAAGGGCUCCCGCAGGCCCAGGCUGGCCCUGCCCAGGCGCAAGACGCCGAGGACGUCGCCGUGGAAAUUCCGUGCUCACGUUCAUUCAAGAAUAAUGAUUGUAGGCUUUCGUCCAAGUCUCAUAUUUAAGACAGAUCAAUAAAAAUGCCGAGCCACA
This is a non-coding RNA of Microcebus murinus (gray mouse lemur), 554 nucleotides long. NCBI's taxonomy places the organism in Eukaryota, Metazoa, Chordata, Mammalia, Primates, Cheirogaleidae. The record is from RefSeq and is a predicted model, not a curated record.